GACGAACGCUGGCGGCGUGCUUAACACAUGCAAGUCGAACGGAAAGGCCCCCUUGUGGGGUACUCGAGUGGCGAACGGGUGAGUAACACGUGAGUAACCUACCCUUGACUUUGGGAUAACUUCAGGAAACUGGGGCUAAUACCGGAUAGGAGCUCCUGCUGCAUGGUGGGGGUUGGAAAGUUUCGGCGGUUGGGGAUGGACUCGCGGCUUAUCAGCUUGUUGGUGGGGUAGUGGCUCACCAAGGCCUUGACGGGUAGCCGGCCUGAGAGGGUGACCGGCCACAUUGGGACUGAGAUACGGCCCAGACUCCUACGGGAGGCAGCAGUGGGGAAUAUUGCACAAUGGGCGGAAGCCUGAUGCAGCAACGCCGCGUGCGGGAUGACGGCCUUCGGGUUGUAAACCGCUUUCGCCUGUGACGAAGCGUGAGUGACGGUAAUGGGUAAAGAAGCACCGGCUAACUACGUG
Molecule: ribosomal RNA, 465 nt
Filed under: uncultured bacterium
Lineage: Bacteria
Description: partial 16S ribosomal RNA
Rfam family: Bacterial small subunit ribosomal RNA
Source: RNAcentral